GAUGAACGCUGGCGGCGUGCUUAACACAUGCAAGUCGAGCGCGAAAGCGACUUCGGUCGCAAGUAGAGCGGCGCACGGGUGAGUAACACGUGGAUAACCUGCCUGAGUGUGGGGAAUAACUUGGGGAAACCUAAGCUAAUACCGCAUACGUUCACCAGACUUCGGUUCGGUGAGGAAAGACCGCCUCUUCUUGAAAGCGGUCGCACUCAGAGGGGUCCGCGGCUGAUUAGCUAGUUGGUGAGGUAAUGGCUCACCAAGGCGACGAUCAGUAGCCGGCCUGAGAGGGUGAUCGGCCACACUGGAACUGAGACACGGUCCAGACUCCUACGGGAGGCAGCAGUGGGGAAUAUUGGACAAUGGGCGAAAGCCUGAUCCAGCAACGCCGCGUGGAGGAUGAAGGCCUCGGGUUGUAAACUCCUGUCAGGUGGAACGAAAAACCUCAGCUAACAACUGAGCAUAUGACGGUACCACCAGAGGAAGCCCCGGCUAACUCUGUGCCAGCAGCCGCGGUAAUACAGAGGGGGCAAGCGUUAUUCGGAAUUAUUGGGCGUAAAGGGCGCGUAGGCGGCUAAACAAGUCAGGGGUGAAAUCCCUCGGCUCAACCGAGGAACUGCCUCUGAAACUGUUUGGCUUGAGACCGGGAGAGGGUGGUGGAAUUCCCAGUGUAGCGGUGAAAUGCGUAGAUAUUGGGAGGAACACCGGUGGCGAAGGCGGCCACCUGGACCGGUUCUGACGCUGAGGCGCGAAAAGUGUGGGGGAGCAAACAGGAUUAGAUACCCUGGUAG
RNAcentral lists this ribosomal RNA (785 nucleotides) under uncultured bacterium. RNAcentral describes it as "bacterial SSU rRNA". It matches the Rfam family "Bacterial small subunit ribosomal RNA", at positions 28 to 793 of the family's 1533-position model. The record is from RNAcentral.